GGCGGUGUGGUGUAGUGGUUAGCACGUGACAUUCUCAUUGUUAAGACCGGGGUUCGAUUCCCCACUCCGCUA
RNAcentral lists this transfer RNA (72 nucleotides) under Bacteroidales bacterium. Its description in RNAcentral is "tRNA-Glu". It matches the Rfam family "tRNA". From Rfam's summary of the family: Transfer RNA (tRNA) molecules are approximately 80 nucleotides in length. Their secondary structure includes four short double-helical elements and three loops (D, anti-codon, and T loops). The record is from RNAcentral. Lineage: Bacteria; Pseudomonadati; Bacteroidota; Bacteroidia; Bacteroidales.